GGUUAAGCGACUAAGCGUACACGGUGGAUGCCCUGGCAGUCAGAGGCGAUGAAGGACGUGCUAAUCUGCGAUAAGCGUCGGUAAGGUGAUAUGAACCGUUAUAACCGGCGAUUUCCGAAUGGGGAAACCCAGUGUGAUUCGUCACACUAUCAUUAACUGAAUCCAUAGGUUAAUGAGGCGAACCGGGGGAACUGAAACAUCUAAGUACCCCGAGGAAAAGAAAUCAACCGAGAUUCCCCCAGUAGCGGCGAGCGAACGGGGAGCAGCCCAGAGCCUGAAUCAGUGUGUGUGUUAGUGGAAGCGUCUGGAAAGGCGCGCGAUACAGGGUGACAGCCCCGUACACAAAAAUGCACAUGCUGUGAGCUCGAUGAGUAGGGCGGGACACGUGGUAUCCUGUCUGAAUAUGGGGGGACCAUCCUCCAAGGCUAAAUACUCCUGACUGACCGAUAGUGAACCAGUACCGUGAGGGAAAGGCGAAAAGAACCCCGGCGAGGGGAGUGAAAAAGAACCUGAAACCGUGUACGUACAAGCAGUGGGAGCACGCUUAGGCGUGUGACUGCGUACCUUUUGUAUAAUGGGUCAGCGACUUAUAUUCUGUAGCAAGGUUAACCGAAUAGGGGAGCCGAAGGGAAACCGAGUCUUAACUGGGCGUUAAGUUGCAGGGUAUAGACCCGAAACCCGGUGAUCUAGCCAUGGGCAGGUUGAAGGUUGGGUAACACUAACUGGAGGACCGAACCGACUAAUGUUGAAAAAUUAGCGGAUGACUUGUGGCUGGGGGUGAAAGGCCAAUCAAACCGGGAGAUAGCUGGUUCUCCCCGAAAGCUAUUUAGGUAGCGCCUCGUGAAUUCAUCUCCGGGGGUAGAGCACUGUUUCGGCAAGGGGGUCAUCCCGACUUACCAACCCGAUGCAAACUGCGAAUACCGGAGAAUGUUAUCACGGGAGACACACGGCGGGUGCUAACGUCCGUCGUGAAGAGGGAAACAACCCAGACCGCCAGCUAAGGUCCCAAAGUCAUGGUUAAGUGGGAAACGAUGUGGGAAGGCCCAGACAGCCAGGAUGUUGGCUUAGAAGCAGCCAUCAUUUAAAGAAAGCGUAAUAGCUCACUGGUCGAGUCGGCCUGCGCGGAAGAUGUAACGGGGCUAAACCAUGCACCGAAGCUGCGGCAGCGACGCUUAUGCGUUGUUGGGUAGGGGAGCGUUCUGUAAGCCUGUGAAGGUGUGCUGUGAGGCAUGCUGGAGGUAUCAGAAGUGCGAAUGCUGACAUAAGUAACGAUAAAGCGGGUGAAAAGCCCGCUCGCCGGAAGACCAAGGGUUCCUGUCCAACGUUAAUCGGGGCAGGGUGAGUCGACCCCUAAGGCGAGGCCGAAAGGCGUAGUCGAUGGGAAACAGGUUAAUAUUCCUGUACUUGGUGUUACUGCGAAGGGGGGACGGAGAAGGCUAUGUUGGCCGGGCGACGGUUGUCCCGGUUUAAGCGUGUAGGCUGGUUUUCCAGGCAAAUCCGGAAAAUCAAGGCUGAGGCGUGAUGACGAGGCACUACGGUGCUGAAGCAACAAAUGCCCUGCUUCCAGGAAAAGCCUCUAAGCAUCAGGUAACAUCAAAUCGUACCCCAAACCGACACAGGUGGUCAGGUAGAGAAUACCAAGGCGCUUGAGAGAACUCGGGUGAAGGAACUAGGCAAAAUGGUGCCGUAACUUCGGGAGAAGGCACGCUGAUAUGUAGGUGAGGUCCCUCGCGGAUGGAGCUGAAAUCAGUCGAAGAUACCAGCUGGCUGCAACUGUUUAUUAAAAACACAGCACUGUGCAAACACGAAAGUGGACGUAUACGGUGUGACGCCUGCCCGGUGCCGGAAGGUUAAUUGAUGGGGUUAGCGCAAGCGAAGCUCUUGAUCGAAGCCCCGGUAAACGGCGGCCGUAACUAUAACGGUCCUAAGGUAGCGAAAUUCCUUGUCGGGUAAGUUCCGACCUGCACGAAUGGCGUAAUGAUGGCCAGGCUGUCUCCACCCGAGACUCAGUGAAAUUGAACUCGCUGUGAAGAUGCAGUGUACCCGCGGCAAGACGGAAAGACCCCGUGAACCUUUACUAUAGCUUGACACUGAACAUUGAGCCUUGAUGUGUAGGAUAGGUGGGAGGCUUAGAAGUGUGGACGCCAGUCUGCAUGGAGCCGACCUUGAAAUACCACCCUUUAAUGUUUGAUGUUCUAACGUUGACCCGUGAUCCGGGUUGCGGACAGUGUCUGGUGGGUAGUUUGACUGGGGCGGUCUCCUCCUAAAGAGUAACGGAGGAGCACGAAGGUUGGCUAAUCCUGGUCGGACAUCAGGAGGUUAGUGCAAUGGCAUAAGCCAGCUUGACUGCGAGCGUGACGGCGCGAGCAGGUGCGAAAGCAGGUCAUAGUGAUCCGGUGGUUCUGAAUGGAAGGGCCAUCGCUCAACGGAUAAAAGGUACUCCGGGGAUAACAGGCUGAUACCGCCCAAGAGUUCAUAUCGACGGCGGUGUUUGGCACCUCGAUGUCGGCUCAUCACAUCCUGGGGCUGAAGUAGGUCCCAAGGGUAUGGCUGUUCGCCAUUUAAAGUGGUACGCGAGCUGGGUUUAGAACGUCGUGAGACAGUUCGGUCCCUAUCUGCCGUGGGCGCUGGAGAACUGAGGGGGGCUGCUCCUAGUACGAGAGGACCGGAGUGGACGCAUCACUGGUGUUCGGGUUGUCAUGCCAAUGGCACUGCCCGGUAGCUAAAUGCGGAAGAGAUAAGUGCUGAAAGCAUCUAAGCACGAAACUUGCCCCGAGAUGAGUUCUCCCUGACUCCUUGAGAGUCCUGAAGGAACGUUGAAGACGACGACGUUGAUAGGCCGGGUGUGUAAGCGCAGCGAUGCGUUGAGCUAACCGGUACUAAUGAACCGUGAGGCUUAACCUU
This 2904-nucleotide ribosomal RNA is filed under the name Escherichia coli. Its description in RNAcentral is "23S ribosomal RNA". It matches the Rfam family "Bacterial large subunit ribosomal RNA". The record is from RNAcentral. Lineage: Bacteria; Pseudomonadati; Pseudomonadota; Gammaproteobacteria; Enterobacterales; Enterobacteriaceae.